Molecule: transfer RNA, 79 nt
Filed under: Streptosporangium pseudovulgare
Lineage: Bacteria; Bacillati; Actinomycetota; Actinomycetes; Streptosporangiales; Streptosporangiaceae
Description: tRNA-Ala
Source: RNAcentral
CGGCGGUACGGCGGGACCGGCGAUCGGUGGUUCACUUGGCGGGUGAGCGACAGCGACGAUCUCAUCGACGACCUCCGGC